GCGUGUGCGCGUAGCUUUGGGUGCCAAAACUUUGAAAAUUUUUCMUUUCCGUUUUUUCAUCAGUUGAAGUCUCCUUCUUUACACAAAACCCCGCCUUGGUAACAACUUGUUCGUUUUAACUUGAUGGCGUCUCAAACGGAUUUUUCGGAACUAAAAGAGUUUUUAGCGAAAGUAAAUUUAGAGGAUUACCUCGAGGAAUUUACCAAACAAAAGGUUAGUUUUAAGCUUCACUUAUUCAACAAUUAGUUAGUAAUUGAAACCCCGGCACUCUGAACGUUGGGAUACUUUAUAUUUCUGGAUUUAGAUAUUGUCAGUUUGAUGAUAGAAGCAAAAAUUGACAUUUCCAUCUGCAAAGGCAGGAAGGCUGAAGUUAACUGAGUGGCAUUUGGUCAGAAUAUUAAUGAAUAGGCGACUUGCACUAAGCGAUUACGUGAUUAAAUCCGCCAUUGUGGCUGGCUAGCGCAACAAUUUGCGCUGUWAGACAACACACAAGAAUAGCGUUGUAUGUGAUUUUUCUCGAGAAAGUUAUAAAGAGAGAUUUAAAAAGGGUCAAGAUUUUCAAUAAACCUCGCUGAUUUGGGGUCAUAACACCGAGAAUUACGAUCGUAAUGAGAUCUCAACAUCGAAAAUGGCUUGUCGUUUACGGGUCAAGAAAUGCCUUUUUUUUUACCUUUUCAUGCCAAAUUAGAACCAAUAAACAACAGAUAAAAGCUACCAAAAGAAUUUUUUWWAAAAAAGGAGUGUGAUUGCAGGGUUGCGUUACUUAGGAGGGGAAAACCCGCCUCCGCCAUCUUCGUUCACAUUCUUGACAUACAUAAAAUUGUUGCGCUAGCCAGCCACAAUGGCGGAUUUGAUUACGUGAUCGCUGAGUAGCCUCGCUUCCAAGAAUAAAGCAUGCUUCCGAAUUAAAUAUGGAUUUCUAGUGUUAAUGUUUUUUAUACACGGUUAAUCAUCCGUAUAACACUAGGAUGUUUUUUGAAGUUUCAACUGGAACUAAUAUACAUUUCAUCUGUCUUUUACACUGACUGAACCUAAAUUCGAGCAAAUUACAUGUAACUGCACUAUGAAAAAAAAAGCAAUGUKUGUCUUACUAGUAUCUGUACAGGUAAUAUUUAUGACAAUAGGAAAUGUAUAAAUAUUAAUAUGGUUUUUAUUUUUCAGUUUCAAAAGAUUUCAGACCUUCAGCUGCUCUUGGAUCUUGAAGAUAAUUCCUGGGUGUUCCAAAAAAUUAACUUG
Actinia tenebrosa (Australian red waratah sea anemone) is the source of this 1236-nucleotide long non-coding RNA. Lineage: Eukaryota; Metazoa; Cnidaria; Anthozoa; Actiniaria; Actiniidae. The record is from RefSeq and is a predicted model, not a curated record.